GGACUACCCGGGUUUCUAAUCCUGUUUGAUCCCCACGCUGUCGCGCCUGAGCGUCAGUAACGGGCCAGUGAGCCGCCUUCGCCACCGGUGUUCUUCCCAAUAUCUACGAAUUUCACCUCUACACUGGGAAUUCCACUCACCUCUCCCGUACUCAAGCCAUCCAGUUUCAGAGGCAUUUCCGGAGUUGAGCUCCGGGCUUUCACCCCUGACUUGAAUGGCCGCCUGCGCGCGCUUUACGCCCAGUAAUUCCGAACAACGCUAGCCCCCUUCGUAUUACCGCGGCUGCUGGCAC
This 292-nucleotide ribosomal RNA is filed under the name uncultured bacterium. RNAcentral describes it as "partial 16S ribosomal RNA". The record is from RNAcentral.